RNAcentral lists this ribosomal RNA (338 nucleotides) under uncultured Streptococcus sp. RNAcentral describes it as "bacterial SSU rRNA". It matches the Rfam family "Bacterial small subunit ribosomal RNA", at positions 1044 to 1382 of the family's 1533-position model. Lineage: Bacteria; Bacillati; Bacillota; Bacilli; Lactobacillales; Streptococcaceae. The record is from RNAcentral.
CAUGGUUGUCGUCAGCUCGUGUCGGUGAGAUGUUGGGUUAAGUCCCGCAACGAGCGCAACCCCUAUUGUUAGUUGCCAUCAUUCAGUUGGGCACUCUAGCGAGACUGCCGGUAAUAAACCGGAGGAAGGUGGGGAUGACGUCAAAUCAUCAUGCCCCUUAUGACCUGGGCUACACACGUGCUACAAUGGUUGGUACAACGAGUUGCGAGUCGGUGACGGCGAGCUAAUCUCUUAAAGCCAAUCUCAGUUCGGAUUGUAGGCUGCAACUCGCCUACAUGAAGUCGGAAUCGCUAGUAAUCGCGGAUCAGCACGCCGCGGUGAAUACGUUCCCGGGCCUU